Molecule: ribosomal RNA, 484 nt
Filed under: uncultured bacterium
Lineage: Bacteria
Description: partial 16S ribosomal RNA
Rfam family: Bacterial small subunit ribosomal RNA
Source: RNAcentral
AUUGAACGCUGGCGGCAUGCUUUACACAUGCAAGUCGAACGGCAGCGCGGGCUUCGGCCUGGCGGCGAGUGGCGAACGGGUGAGUAAUACAUCGGAACGUGCCCAGUAGUGGGGGAUAGCUCGGCGAAAGCCGGAGUAAUACCGCAUACGACCUGAGGGUGAAAGCGGGGGAUCUUCGGACCUCGCGCUAUUGGAGCGGCCGAUGGCAGAUUAGCUAGUUGGUGGGGUAAAGGCCUACCAAGGCGACGAUCUGUAGCUGGUCUGAGAGGACGACCAGCCACACUGGAACUGAGACACGGCCCAGACUCCUACGGGAGGCAGCAGUGGGGAAUUUUGGACAAUGGGCGAAAGCCUGAUCCAGCAAUGCCGCGUGUGUGAUGAAGGCCUUCGGGUUGUAAAGCACUUUUGGCGGGAACGAAAAGGACUGUGCCAAUACCACGGCUCGAUGACGGUACCCGCAGAAUAAGCACCGGCUAACUACGUG